GGAAAGCGAUGCCAACUUAAAUCUUUGCUUUGUUGGUCUGUUUUUUAUUUCUUUCUUUUCAUUUUCCCAUAAUUAAAUGUGCCAUAGUACAGGUUUUACUUCCCAUGUCAAUCGAGAGCAAGUGAAAACAGGAGAAGGGAUGACCUUGCGCUUCCUCUCAUUGGUUUGUUUUUUAAAAAGCAUUUAUUGCAGAAAAAAUAUGAGGCUUGCUGGUAGUAUUCCCAGGUGACAAAUGUGCACCCAACACCCUACAGAAAAGAAGAACCAUAAAAUAAUUAAUUAUUCUAUUGUAACUCCUGCCUGGAAAACAUCUGAAAGAAGUCACUAGAUUCAGCCCACAUUCAAGAUGAGAAAUACCAGAAGACAGAGAACACUGAGGCUGUUUUAGAGGCUGUCAACCCCAGGGAGACAGACAGCAAAUAAAUAAGCAAAUAAAUAAAAAUGGAAGGUGAUAAUAAGCACAACGAAAAGAAAUGAAGCAGAGUAAAGAAUCAAGAGUAGCGGUUGAGGGGAUGCUUGGAUGUUUUCACACCACUCUGACACAUGGAUGGAAGGUUAGAAGACAACAAAGGAAUGGGCUGGGAAGGACUCCAAAAGCAGAAUCAGAGAUUAUAUCAUUCCUUGGAAAUGGAGAAAAGGAUCAGAAAAGCUGAAUAAAAGGCAAACAUGGAGGAACAGAGUUUGGAGCAAUACCCUGACUUACAUUCAGUACUGUUAAUGGCUCCAGCAUCUUGAAACAAGCCAAUUUUGGAUUUUCAGCCACUGUCCAAGAUGAUGUGAACUCCAGGCUAUUGACUUUCCUCUACCUUCAAUGGAAAUUGUCAUGGAGAAUUAAGUUUUUGACAAAUCUACAACCUAUGUGCAGGGCUUCUUCCUGGGUGUAACAAUAAGGAAUUUGGAAACUGUCUCUAGUUUUGGCCUGGAGUCACACUGCAGCUUGAGACCCUGUCAUUUCUAUGAAGCUUGAAAAUAUACAUCUUAAUAAACUGCAAUACUUCUUAAACCUU
Molecule: long non-coding RNA, 1007 nt
Filed under: Pongo abelii (Sumatran orangutan)
Lineage: Eukaryota; Metazoa; Chordata; Mammalia; Primates; Hominidae
Description: lincRNA
Source: RNAcentral